Chiloscyllium plagiosum (whitespotted bambooshark) is the source of this 74-nucleotide non-coding RNA. The record is from the annotation of a RefSeq genome assembly. Lineage: Eukaryota; Metazoa; Chordata; Chondrichthyes; Orectolobiformes; Hemiscylliidae.
GGUUCCAAAGUGUAGUGGUUAUCACGUCUGCUUUACAUGCAGAAGGUCCUGGGUUCAAGCCCUAGUGGGGGCCA